AUGGGUGCAGUCUCAGAGAGGCUGUGCAGAGCUGGCUCAUACUGUGGACCUCAGACUGCUGAGCCUCAAGUUUGUCCUGAAGGUUAUUUUUGUCCUGAGGGAUCCCACUCCUUCAAUACCCCCAAACAGCUCUGUCCUUUUCCACACUACUGCCCAGCCAACAGCUCUGCCAUCAAGUCCUGCGAAGGGGGCUCCAUGCCUGUCAACAGCAGUGGGCUCAGAGGAUCCAAAAGCAGCUGCUGUAGUGUGUGCGAGGGAGGCACUUACCGUCCUGAUCUCUCCCCAGUCCCACAAUGCCUUCCGUGUCCACCAGGAUACUUUUGUCCCCCAGGUAGUGACCACUACAAAAGAAACCCUUGCCCGUUUGGGUCCGUCUGUCCCAUGGGAUCCACUCAACCGAUACCCUGCCCCCCUGGCUCCUUUGGUAACCUCACUCAUGCUGAGAAAUUGGUUGACUGUUACCCAUGUCCCGCUGGCACCUUCAGCCACCUGCCUGCCCAGAGGGCCUGUUUUCCCUGUGGAAGCUCCUCUACCUCACCUGCCGGUUCCUCUUCUUGUACCUGUAUUGGUAAGAACCGUGCCUUCCAGCACUCUGAUGGCUCAUGUGUGUGUAGAACUGGCUUUAUCUUCUACAAUGAACUGGAUUUGAAAAGCUCCACCUCUGACAGUGAAUCGGACUGCCAGCCUGAGUUGAGCAGGCGUUGUGCCACAGGACAGGUACGCCUGGCAGCAUCCAGAGAGUGUGUGCCACCUUCCCUCCACUCCUGUAAUAUCGCCUGCGGACCACAUGGAGGAACUCUGGAUUUGGAGAUGGGAAUCUGCCAUUGUGAGCGAUAUGUGUCGGCUGAGGAACUUUGCAAUACCUCCUGCCUCUCCCGCCUGCCUCAGCUCUCUGCCCGGCUCUCACCAGACGGACACCUGCUGCUCAGCUUGAAAGAAAGAAACAGCAUUGUCUGGGCACGGACUGUAAUGGAUGUUUUAGGACCAGAUAUCCAUGCAAAGAACUUUGGGAAAAUCCAUUUGGUCCAAUUUGACUCUGAAGGAGUAUUUGGUUGGAUUCCCACGCAGACACGGCUCAUCAAUCCGUUUCUAUCAGAACCAACAGAACUCCUGAAUACAAGACCCAGAAAGAGGAGAGACACAGGUGAUGAUGAUGAUGGUGGUGGUGAUGAUGAUGAUGAUGAUGACCCGGCUGUUCUUCCUCGAAUCCCCAACCCCAUUGCUUGUUUAUCCUCCGGUGACAUGCUCAUUUUCCAUCUCACCAUCAACCACACUGACCGCCAUUUGAGUCACUUCCCAGUGUAUCAAAAAGACCACCUGUUUAAUAGUAACCCCAGCUGGGACUUUGGUGCCUUCAGACAUUUGCAGAUGCUCAUGAAACAGACAAACUUUAACUCCACAAGGUUUGCCCACGUCUUUCCAGAAACAGGCAAGUAUGUGUUUGUGGACAGUGCUGUCCCAGAGUGGAGUAUGGUGGUGGUGGUCAGUGAGGAGGGGACAGAGUGCGAUCCCAGGGCAUCAGUGUUUCAGCCAAUGUCCCCGGCACAUUUGGUCAGAUACGGGAUUGUCAAGCAGCACAGACUCAACCUUCUGCCGGACUGGGAAUUGAUAGCUGGUGUGUAUCCCCAGUGUUUCCUUUCAUGUCUACUCGUCAUUUGGUCAUGUUUUACCGUUUAACUUUUGAUGGAUUAGCUCUUGACACUUUGUCAUAACAAGAUGCUGACUGUGUACAGGGGUCCUGAGUCUGCUGCUGGUUGUGG
RNAcentral lists this long non-coding RNA (1760 nucleotides) under Scophthalmus maximus (turbot). RNAcentral describes it as "lncRNA (ENSSMAG00000032285.1)". Lineage: Eukaryota; Metazoa; Chordata; Actinopteri; Pleuronectiformes; Scophthalmidae. The record is from RNAcentral.